GGAGUCUGGGCCGUAUCUCAGUCCCAAUGUGGCCGUCCACCCUCUUAGGCCGGCUACCCAUCAUGGCCAUGGUAGGCCUUUACCCCACCAUCUAGCUAAUGGGACGCGGACUCAUCCUUCAGCGAGGCCUUAGCCCCUUUCCAGUAUUCAGCUUGUGCUAUAUACUGCUCAUCCGGCAUUAUCCUGACUUUCAUCAGGCUAUUCCCAACUGUAGGACAGAUUAUCCACGCGUUACUCACCCGUCCGCUGCUCUAGCUUGAAUAAAUCCAAGUUACCGCUCAACUUGCAUGCUUAAAACGCGCCGCCAGCGUCGUU
RNAcentral lists this ribosomal RNA (315 nucleotides) under uncultured Sphaerochaeta sp. Its description in RNAcentral is "partial 16S ribosomal RNA". Lineage: Bacteria; Pseudomonadati; Spirochaetota; Spirochaetia; Spirochaetales; Sphaerochaetaceae. The record is from RNAcentral.